GAUGAACGCUAGCGGCAGGCUUAAUACAUGCAAGUUGAGGGGCAGCAUGAUAUACGCGAGUAUAUUGAUGGCGACCGGCGGACGGGUGAGUAAUAGGUAGGGGACCUACCUCAUACAGGGGGAUAGCAUAGAGAAAUCUGUGGUAAUACCCCAUGAGGUUAUAUGAAUAGAGGCAUAUAAUCAAAGCAUAAGCGAUUAUGUGGUAUGAGAGGGGCCUACUGACCAUUAGCUAGUUGGUGAGGUAAGGGCUCACCAAGGCGAAGAUGGUUAGGGGUUUUGAGAGAGAGACCCCCCACAUUGGAACUGAGAGACGGUCCAGACUCCUACGGGAGGCAGCAGUAGGGAAUAUUGGGCAAUGGGCGAAAGCCUGACCCAGCCAUGCCGCGUGAAGGAAGACGGCCUUAUGGGUUGUAAACUUCUUUACUACGCGAAUAGAGGUUAGUACGAGAUACUAAUAGGAAGGUAGUGUAGUAAAAGCACCGGCUAACUCCGUGCCAG
This 498-nucleotide ribosomal RNA is filed under the name uncultured bacterium. Its description in RNAcentral is "bacterial SSU rRNA". It matches the Rfam family "Bacterial small subunit ribosomal RNA", at positions 28 to 511 of the family's 1533-position model. The record is from RNAcentral.